This 78-nucleotide transfer RNA is filed under the name Amorphochlora amoebiformis. RNAcentral's name for it is "tRNA-Ser". The record is from RNAcentral. Lineage: Eukaryota; Cercozoa; Chlorarachniophyceae.
AUCCAUUGGUUAUACCGCACAGGUUCGAAUCCUGUCAGUCGCCGGCUGUGUCCGAGUGGUCAAGGAGAUGGACUCGAA